AAGACCAGAGUCAGUCACUCCUGCUGGGACGGUGACUCCUCCCUCUGCUGCAGUCUCUUGGAGGAAGUGCCCAGGUAGCAACUGUGGCUAAUAUUUCAGUGGGACUCCUGCUGUUUCCCCUGGUGAAAGCAUUCUCCUUUUUGGAAAUCGGAUCAAUAAACCUGGGGAAUCCAGAGCAGCUGGGUAGGAGUGAUGGUAGGUGGGGAAACCCCAGCCUCUACCCUGUGUCGUCUGCCUGUUAGGAACACAGCACCAGGGAAAAAAAAGUUGUCAAGAGUAUGUGUGGCACCCUGGGAGAUCGCAGCCCAUCCUAAGGUACCACCUGAGCUUGUGCUUUAGCUGUGCCUACAAAAGGCUUUUCCUUGGCUCUGUCGCAAACAGCUUCUGCGUUGGUAUUGUGUAUGGCAUGACCAGUGGAUUUCACAGCCUUAUGCCCCUCACACACCUCCUUUAUUGUAAAAUGGGUCCCUGGGGCUGACUCAGCAGGAAAGGGGAGCCCAGUGGAUCAAACAUUAUGAGCAGGAAAGGCAAAUCCAUACCCACCAUAUGCGUCUGUUUCUCUUAUCAAAACGAAUUCUUACUCUUGUGCUCACGUGGCUGACUGGCAGCUGCGGCUCACUGCCACUGCCCAACGUCGUGGGAGAAUACUGUGCCACAUAUGGCUAGCGCACAGGAAAAGACCAAAACUCGAAGUGUGGUUUCGACUGAAUGCAUACUGCUUUCGCACCAUCAUAAAGUUGAAAAAUCAUGAGUUGAUGCACUGUAAGUCGGGGACUGUUUGCAUAUGACGGCAGAGGGUGGGAGAAUUAACAUAGCUCUCAGGCAAGACCAAAAUAUAUACUGUUGUCUGUUCCAAGUGAAUAUAAACUAUUUGUGAUCCUUUCUGUUUGGGGUGGAAAAGUCUGCUGUCAUCAACCAGUGGCCACAUGUCUUGUGCCUGAGACAGUGUGUGUCUCCUCUAGCAAAGAUGCCACGUUUGACACGGCAGCUGCAAUUGCAGUAAUUCACUCUCACCCUUCCAGCUGCCUCUCGUGUUUGCAGGAACCAGACUGUCAAAUGAAAUGAAAUACGAUGGGACCACUGGCCGCUGAGUAGGCCCAUAAACGCCGAGGACCAGUGUGAGCCUCGCCCGGUCUCAGGUGCCCCCAGUCUAACAAGGGGCCCCGAUGACGCUGCAUGCCUUGGUUCCAUUCUCAGCUCAGGCCCUCUGUUCAGCAGUCCUCAAAACGCGUGGGCAUUCCCUUUCCCCAGUGGACGGUUACCUGAGUCAAUGGGGUUACCUGAGUCAAUGGCCGUCGGCUCUUUUGUGGAAGGAGUGCGGGGAAUUCUUACCUUAUCCAUUUGGUGUUGCAGCGUUCCCUCCUCCCGAAGACUCAGUCUGUCCUUCUGUAGAUAAAAGUUUCAGUCUGAAAGUGGCUCAGACCCCGAAACUGGGCAAGGGAUCAUGACUGGUUGUUGGGGCCACCUGUUACCCAUCCUUGCGGUAUUUUGGUGGGAAAGAUUGAGUAGCCUACUUGUUGGCUACCCGUCGAUCUCAGUCAGGGGUUCAUCAUUCUGUGAACAAACGCCGUAACUCACCAGGUGAGCCCACCCUCUCUAAUGUUUCUUGCCCCUUAUAAUUGCAUUCACCAGGUUUCUGACCAUAAGCAGUUAAGCACUGCCACCUGGUCUCUUAUUUCAGGGUCCCAUGAUCUUCAUAUUUUUUGAAUAUCUUGUUCGAUAGAUCGUACCCACUGUUACACCACCCUAGUUGCCCACUGGUGGAAGUUUUAGGACUUGCACACUCAGGAGCUGCUACCGUGUGCCAGGUAGCACCUUUGUGCUCCAUCCGCCAUCAGUGCUGAAGUCCUUACCAUCCACGCCAGCCAGCAAGUAAACAAUGGAAUCUGCUGUGUGAAACUGCUGCAUCCGUUCCCUUUGCUUUAGGGAUAAAGUGACCUUUCCCAGAAUCUAUGAUUUGGGGCUGCCUUUGACAUCUGGAGAUUGUCCCCCAAGCUGUCAUCCAGGAACUUCUCAGGAACUACUCCAGGCUAUAGAAACAGAUGCUAAAGGCAGUUUUAGUCACAGAAAGAUUUACAUUUCCUUUUGUCUGCGGGCUCCUUUGAGAUGUUCAGGGCUCUGCAGGGUGCCUGUUCUCUAGGUGGAGAGGGUGCAGAGCUGAUUUAUUUCAUUCCUUUCACUAACCACUUACUCUGUGCACACAAAACUAUAUUCCCUUAUGUGGAGUUGUUGGUAAAGCAAAUUAAGACCUUGUUCACUUUUAUUUCUCAAGACCCUAUGCUGGGUCUAUAAGAAAGUAGUAUAGGAGAAAUGCAACAUUUCUAAUAAAAAUGCUACUUCCCUGCA
Microcebus murinus (gray mouse lemur) is the source of this 2346-nucleotide non-coding RNA. The record is from RefSeq and is a predicted model, not a curated record. Lineage: Eukaryota; Metazoa; Chordata; Mammalia; Primates; Cheirogaleidae.